RNAcentral lists this ribosomal RNA (520 nucleotides) under Escherichia coli. RNAcentral describes it as "bacterial SSU rRNA". It matches the Rfam family "Bacterial small subunit ribosomal RNA", at positions 882 to 1402 of the family's 1533-position model. Lineage: Bacteria; Pseudomonadati; Pseudomonadota; Gammaproteobacteria; Enterobacterales; Enterobacteriaceae. The record is from RNAcentral. RNAcentral also lists the same sequence under 1 other name.
ACGGCCGCAAGGUUAAAACUCAAAUGAAUUGACGGGGGCCCGCACAAGCGGUGGAGCAUGUGGUUUAAUUCGAUGCAACGCGAAGAACCUUACCUGGUCUUGACAUCCACGGAAGUUUUCAGAGAUGAGAAUGUGCCUUCGGGAACCGUGAGACAGGUGCUGCAUGGCUGUCGUCAGCUCGUGUUGUGAAAUGUUGGGUUAAGUCCCGCAACGAGCGCAACCCUUAUCCUUUGUUGCCAGCGGUCCGGCCGGGAACUCAAAGGAGACUGCCAGUGAUAAACUGGAGGAAGGUGGGGAUGACGUCAAGUCAUCAUGGCCCUUACGACCAGGGCUACACACGUGCUACAAUGGCGCAUACAAAGAGAAGCGACCUCGCGAGAGCAAGCGGACCUCAUAAAGUGCGUCGUAGUCCGGAUUGGAGUCUGCAACUCGACUCCAUGAAGUCGGAAUCGCUAGUAAUCGUGGAUCAGAAUGCCACGGUGAAUACGUUCCCGGGCCUUGUACACACCGCCCGUCACAC